AUAGAUAAAGAAAAUACAUAGCUGUUCCAGAAAACAGAAAUGGAUAAUUUCAUGAACCAAAAGCAGAGUAAUAUACUUUAGAAAGGAAGCAGGCUGGAAGACCCACAGUUGCAAAGCAAAUAGAAUUUCCAACUGCCUCUUGUAGCCCCUUCCUGGAAGUAGUCACAGCCCAGGGUGUUCAACUUCUUCCUCUGUUUUUUGUUUGUUUGUUGUUUGCUUUUCUGUGGGGUUUUUGUUGUUGUUGUUUGCUUUUUAAAAAAAAUCCCUUUCCCUGCUUUUUUGUCACAGCAGCCUUUGUCACUUCAAACACCGCAAGUGUUCUUUAAAAAAAAUUAUAUCAACCUUUCAACUAAAAUGCAACAUGUCUGAAACUUGGUAUCUGGAGAGGUGAGAGGGACAAAGGAGCCGUUGUUACUGCACGUUUUCAUUCUCCAAACUUCACCUUGCACACAGUAACAGACAAUGCACAAAGCUACUUCCUUAUGGACGGAAAUUCUGAAAUCCUUUUAUGCCUGGCCUUUCCAUCCUUCAACUUCCCCUCUCCCAUGCUGAACAGUAAGAGGACCUUGUGCAUGAAUAAUUUGUUUCCACACUGCAGAAAGAAUCCCAGACUUCUUAGAGAACCCAGUGACUUUUUGCACCUUAAAUCUGUGAAAUCCUCAUGCUUUCUUCUGCCGUAUCCAUCGUUCAAACAAACAUGAGGCAAAGCUAGACACAUU
Molecule: long non-coding RNA, 719 nt
Organism: Homo sapiens (human)
Lineage: Eukaryota; Metazoa; Chordata; Mammalia; Primates; Hominidae
Gene: FAM157C
Product: family with sequence similarity 157 member C
Source: Ensembl